Molecule: ribosomal RNA, 119 nt
Filed under: Pteropus alecto (black flying fox)
Lineage: Eukaryota; Metazoa; Chordata; Mammalia; Chiroptera; Pteropodidae
Source: RNAcentral
AUCUACGGCCAUGCUACCCUGAACAAGCCCAAUCCCAUCUGAUCUUGGAAGCUAAACAGGGUCAGACCUGUUUAGUACUUGGAUGGGAGACCACCUAGGAAGACAAGGUGCUAUAGGUG